This 334-nucleotide ribosomal RNA is filed under the name uncultured Bacteroidota bacterium. RNAcentral's name for it is "bacterial SSU rRNA". It matches the Rfam family "Bacterial small subunit ribosomal RNA", at positions 28 to 353 of the family's 1533-position model. The record is from RNAcentral. Lineage: Bacteria; Pseudomonadati; Bacteroidota.
GAUGAACGCUAGCGGCAGGCUUAAUACAUGCAAGUCGUACGGGAUCCGAGGUAGCAAUACUUUGGUGAGAGUGGCGCACGGGUGCGUAACACGUAUGCAACCUACCUUUAACCGGGACACAACCUCGAGAAAUUGAGGCUAAUAUCCCAUAACACUGCGAGAUGGCAUCAUUUUGCAGUUAAAACUCCGGUGGUUAUUGAUGGGCAUGCGCGACAUUAGCUAGUUGGUGAGGUAACGGCCCACCAAGGCUACGAUGUCUAGGGGGUUCUGAGAGGAUUAUCCCCCACACUGGUACGUGAGGACACGGACCGACGACUCCUACCGGGAGGGCUCG